ACUCGGGGUGCCCACCGUUUAAUCUGGUGUGGCUGAGAUAAGACCCGUAUGACCUGAUCUGGAUUAUGCCAGCGGAGGGAAGUUGC
RNAcentral lists this non-coding RNA (86 nucleotides) under Yersinia kristensenii. RNAcentral's name for it is "TPP riboswitch (THI element)". It matches the Rfam family "TPP riboswitch aptamer (THI element)", at positions 8 to 91 of the family's 105-position model. Rfam says of the family: Vitamin B(1) in its active form thiamin pyrophosphate (TPP) is an essential coenzyme that is synthesised by coupling of pyrimidine and thiazole moieties in bacteria. The previously detected thiamin-regulatory element, thi box was extended, resulting in a new, highly conserved RNA secondary structure, the THI element, which is widely distributed in eubacteria and also occurs in some archaea. Analysis of operon structures identified a large number of new candidate thiamin-regulated genes, mostly transporters, in various prokaryotic organisms. Lineage: Bacteria; Pseudomonadati; Pseudomonadota; Gammaproteobacteria; Enterobacterales; Yersiniaceae. The record is from RNAcentral.